This 492-nucleotide ribosomal RNA is filed under the name uncultured bacterium. Its description in RNAcentral is "partial 16S ribosomal RNA". It matches the Rfam family "Bacterial small subunit ribosomal RNA", at positions 29 to 507 of the family's 1533-position model. The record is from RNAcentral.
AGUGAACGCUGGCGGUAGGCCUAACACAUGCAAGUCGAACGGCAGCACAGUAAGAGCUUGCUCUUACGGGUGGCGAGUGGCGGACGGGUGAGGAAUACAUCGGAAUCUACUUUUUCGUGGGGGAUAACGUAGGGAAACUUACGCUAAUACCGCAUACGACCUACGGGUGAAAGCAGGGGAUCUUCGGACCUUGCGCGAUUGAAUGAGCCGAUGUCGGAUUAGCUAGUUGGCGGGGUAAAGGCCCACCAAGGCGACGAUCCGUAGCUGGUCUGAGAGGAUGAUCAGCCACACUGGAACUGAGACACGGUCCAGACUCCUACGGGAGGCAGCAGUGGGGAAUAUUGGACAAUGGGCGCAAGCCUGAUCCAGCCAUACCGCGUGAGUGAAGAAGGCCUUCGGGUUGUAAAGCCCUUUUGUUGGGAAAGAAAAGCAGCAUGUUAAUACCCCGCUGUUCUGACGGUACCCAAAGAAUAAGCACCGGCUAACUUCGUG